Molecule: ribosomal RNA, 375 nt
Filed under: uncultured organism
Description: partial 16S ribosomal RNA
Rfam family: Bacterial small subunit ribosomal RNA
Source: RNAcentral
GGGGGGAGCAAGCGUUGUUCGGAAUCACUGGGCGUAAAGGGCGCGUAGGCGGCCGUGUAGGUCGCGUGUGAAAGGCCGGGGCUCAACCCCGUGUACUGCAUGCGAUACUGCAUGGCUUGAGAAAGGUAGAGGUGAGCGGAAUUCCCGGUGUAGCGGUGGAAUGCGUAGAUAUCGGGAAGAACACCAGUGGCGAAGGCGGCUCGCUGGGCCUUUUCUGACGCUGAAGCGCGAAAGCGUGGGGAGCAAACAGGGAUUAGAUACCCUGGUAGUCCACGCCGUAAACGCUGGGUACUAGGUGUUGGGAGGAUUGACCCCUUUCAGUGCCGACGCUAACGCAUUAAGUACCCCGCCUGGGGGAGUACGGCCGCAAGGCUG